UACUAAAUACCGAGGACGUGAAAUUACAGAAACGCCCUUAAACGGGAUUAAGGUGCGUAAAUUUGGUAUUUGUUUUACACUAAGAUCCUAAACUAGGGUUAGAAUUAUAUUAGUAUGUGUUAAUUUAAUUUGUGUUUGGACUUAGGGUGGGGUCCUACCCCCUAAAUCCCUCCCCAAAACCCGUUUUUGUUGUCUCUCUCAUCUCCCUAGUCACUCUCUUUCUCUUUCUUCAUUUCAGAAACACUCAUUCCCUCUCUCUUACUCUCAUUCUCUCUCAAACUCUCGGACAAACACCCAAGACCUUGAAAACUUCACAAGUUAAGGUUGAGGAAGGUAGCAUCGUGUUCGUAAGGACCAUACGAACACAUUGAUAUUAUUUUCAGGCUAAAGCAAGAUCACCACGAGUCUUAGGAAGUCCUAAGGAGGCUCGGAGUGCCUCGUUUGAACAAAAUGGACGUCGGGAUCGUUGGGUUCGAGUUUGGCCGAAUUUGAGGAAUUUUGGAAGGUGGAACUUUUAACGAGGACGAGCACAUCCAGGGGCGUCAAGGGGGUUACGACCCGGCGACAUACCAGUUCUAGUUGAUAGUUGAGGC
Non-coding RNA from Malus domestica (apple), 593 nucleotides. Lineage: Eukaryota; Viridiplantae; Streptophyta; Magnoliopsida; Rosales; Rosaceae. The record is from RefSeq and is a predicted model, not a curated record.